AUUUAAAAGGUGUGCAGGGAAGGGAGAAGGGAAUCUAAAAUCCACUCUUGGGGCCAGAGAGUAUAGGUCCGAGUCGCUUCUGACUCUGUCACGGGGACUCUCAGGUAAACCUGUAGGUAAUUUGUGUCCUUUCCUUCACGUGACUCAACAGGGGUUUUUCUCAGUAGUGCCUUUGUGUUUCUCCUGCAGGAGAACCGUCAGUGGGGCCCUUCCAGUCCCUGCACGCAGAGUAAAGAAGGUAAGUAAUUCUGAUGAAUUGGGUGAGGUGCGUACCUGACGCCGUUCGCCACGAGAUUCUGGGUCCACGGUUGGAAACACCUAAAAGGUCCACAGGUAAGUAUGCAGGUGAAUAUAUGCAAGGGCGAUGCACUGGUAUUUCACUCGGGGCGUACAGGUAAGUAUGCAGAAGGACAACUGGGUCUUUACUUUGGACGUACAGGUGAGUAUACAAGGGCAACUAGAGCUUGACUCUGAGCAUACAAGUAAGCAUACAAGGGCAAUACGCUAGCUCUUAGCUUUAGGCGUACAGAGGGGCAUACAGGUAAGUAUACAAGGGCAAUACGCUGGCUCUUAGCUUGAGGCGUACAGAUGGGCAUACAGGGGCAACUGGAGCUUUGCUCUGGGCAUGCAGGUGGAUAUACAAUGACAAUACUGAAUGGAUACAACUCACAGACCCUCGAAGAGGUGGACGUCAGGCUUUAGCCCUUUUCAGCUCGGGAGUCUAGAGAAGAUGUAUAUGUCACGACAACUGUGGUCUUCUUCACCAGGGCAGACUUCCCAGACCAACACUCAACACGGUCACCUCCAACCGUGGAAACACUCCCACGACGACUCAGAGCCUCAAGCUCAGACCUGUAGGACUAGUAACAGACAGACAGAGUUCCUUCACAAAUUUACUUAGCUUCAGUGAAUAUAUGGAGAAAGACACACCACCUCUCGAAUUUGACCAAGAGUGGAUAGAAGUACAGAUUGAAGUCGCUGCACGUUGGGCCUUCCACGGCCUCAGCUGGUGCCACCACGCUG
Molecule: long non-coding RNA, 1023 nt
Organism: Cyprinus carpio carpio
Lineage: Eukaryota; Metazoa; Chordata; Actinopteri; Cypriniformes; Cyprinidae
Source: Ensembl